UCUCCGUUGGUGAACCAGCGGAGGGAUCAUUGCUGAGUUACCGCUCUACAACCCUUUGUGAACAUACCUAACUGUUGCUUCGGCGGGCAGAGGUCCCUCGCGGAUCUCUCCCGGCAACGCCCUCACGGGCGGAGCGCCCGCCGGAGGAUACCAAACUCUAUUUUAACGACGUUUCUUCUGAGUGGCACAAGCAAAUAAUUAAAACUUUUAACAACGGAUCUCUUGGUUCUG
This 231-nucleotide unclassified non-coding RNA is filed under the name plant metagenome. Its description in RNAcentral is "partial contains small subunit ribosomal RNA, internal transcribed spacer 1, and 5.8S ribosomal RNA". The record is from RNAcentral.